UACGUAGGGGGCAAGCGUUGUCCGGAAUCAUUGGGCGUAAAGAGCGUGUAGGCGGUCCGGUCAGUCGGUUGUGAAAGUCAAGGGCUCAACCCUUGAAUGCCGGCCGAUACUGCCGGGCUAGAGUCCGGAAGAGGUGAGUGGAACUCCUGGUGUAGCGGUGAAAUGCGCAGAUAUCAGGAAGAACACCGAUGGCGAAGGCAGCUCACUGGGACGGUACUGACGCUGAGACGCGAAAGCGUGGGGAGCAAACAGG
RNAcentral lists this ribosomal RNA (253 nucleotides) under uncultured prokaryote. RNAcentral's name for it is "partial 16S ribosomal RNA". It matches the Rfam family "Bacterial small subunit ribosomal RNA", at positions 524 to 776 of the family's 1533-position model. The record is from RNAcentral.